This is a long non-coding RNA of Zophobas morio, 11222 nucleotides long. RefSeq lists it as uncharacterized. The record is from RefSeq and is a predicted model, not a curated record. Lineage: Eukaryota; Metazoa; Arthropoda; Insecta; Coleoptera; Tenebrionidae. The transcript is spliced from 4 exons.
AACUUACCAUCAUUGUUCAUUUUCAUCUAUAGUUUAUACGACGCAUUUUAGAUUCUUCCAAUUCUUAAAUACAACAGUUUUGUGUAGCAAGUGGGAGUAUGGAUGAAUCAACUUUUGCCGCACUUCCAUCAAAACAAAAUAAAAGUGAAAUUGCACAAAAUCAAUAAGAGGUCAACGUCCUCCGCUGCGUUCUACACCCGGAGAAUCCCGGAACUCCCGGAAAUGCCCAACUUGCGCCUUUAGCGUCACGAGUUGCAGCCUCAUCUCCUCGCAACCCUCCAAUUACGCCUCGACAGACCGACUGAGAAAUGGCAAAACCAAAAAAGUACACAUUACUACUACACACAUCCAGAUCCGUCUUCCCGUUCUCCCAACAAUGGGGGUCGCAGCGGUGCAACAAAGCCAUUCUUCUGGAUGUUAACCCCAGCAUAAAACUGUUGUCGAUAAGAUAACAAAUAAAUAUCGUAAUUUCUGUCAAAGUAGCGUGUUGUCUGAGAGGGAGGGACAUCGCCUGGAAUCGAUCGAAAUCCCCGACUUGCGUGUCGGUUACCAUGGAAAGUGUUGGCCCAGGUCAUGAGGGGUCAAACCCGGACCUUCCGCAUUCACGAUCUCCCGAUUCGGAGUUCAAUCAACCCCGGGAAUCCCCUUUGUUUACCAACAAACCGAUACGUGUUGCGAAGACGGGAGCCACCCUGCGUUUUGCGUCGGCAAAAUCGCCCGGGCCGGUUUUUUCACGGUGAAAUGGCCACAAGUGGACCAUCGCCGCUAAUCAGGUCAUGUUCGCCAAUCAGAAUUCUUGCUUUCGCACUAGCUUAGGUCACGGACGGAGCGACGUAGUGUAGAGUUUUUAGCGUUUUUGCGAUUACUAAAUUUUUGUGGGGGGUUUUAGUAAUUUUAUACCAAUGAUGUAAUGAAUGCACCAGAUUAAUAACAAGGAGAGUUAAAAAUCCAUAUGACAAGAAUUACUAAAAAAAAAGGAGCAAAAUUCACAGUUUUUAAAUAGUUUCAUAGUCAUUUGAAAGAUUUUUUUGUCAAAGUAGUACAGAACCAUGUCUUGAAGUUUUAGUGAAUAAUUCGUAGCAAAAAUAACAAAACAAACAAAACCAGUCCGAAUAAAGCGUAUUAAUUCGGCGCAGUUUAAUAUUGGCUGAAGAAACUAUAGUAUCGUGACGUAUCUAUUGUUCUAAUUUAAGAAUUUAGUAUCCUUAAUUAAGAAAAUAAAUUAAUUCAACUUGAUUUUUGAAAGAAUUUUUAAUCUAACUAGCAAUAAAGUGAAAAAAUACAAAAAUAAAUUAACUUAAAAAAAAUAACACUUUUCCUGAAUUAUUAAACGAUUCAAAUAUGUUUUUUCCGUUUAGUUAAUUUUCCAGUCCAGUAAUAAACAUUUUAUUAGUAUUUUCUAAUUGUUCAUAAAUAAAUUUAUUUCAGAAUUUCGAGAACGUGUUACAAACCAAACCUUAGGACACAGUUUAAAGAUAUAUGUUUAAAGUGAAGGAAAAAAAAACACUAAAAAAUACAGGCGUAAUUGUUUAAAAAUUGAUUUCAAGUUAAAUUUUACCGCUUUUUUUUUAAACACCCCUAUAUUUAUGUAUCUAUCUAUGAGAAGUAUAGUUAAUUUAGAACAUAUCUUUAGUAAAGUCAUUUUACUUUUUCAAAAAUUUUUAAAUACCUAUAUUUUUUAAAUAAAUCAUUAAAAAAAAAACAAUAUCUAAUUAAGCGAUAAAUUAUAUAACGGUUCUUGAAUAGAAAAAGUCAUCAAGCUGGCUUUGUUUUUUGGAUAGAAGGAAAUGUAGAGGAAAAUAUAUGUAUUUUAUUGAUCCAUACUAUUAUUGAUAGAGCUCCAGAAAAACUGUAAUUUUAUUAUACGAAAAAUCAACGUUAAGUUAUAGGAUCUUAGAUUUUUAUCACCGUCUGUGUGUCUAAUUAUUUAAAAAUUGAUUUCCAGCCAAAUUUAGAACACCCCUAUUAUGAAACUAUUUGUUAUACGAGUACUUAAUUUACAACAGAUCUUUAGCAGACUGUUUUUUUUAUAUUUUAAAUAUUUCUUUUAAAUAAAUAAGACUCAAUUUUCAUUGUAACGGGUGAUCAAAAAGUUUUCAGAUUAGAGUUGGUCCUGGAAAUAUUUGUCAAUUUGUCAUGUCUUUGAUCAAACUGUAAAUGUCAUGCAUAACCUCAUUUGUAAUUAAAAAAAUUGAUUUUUUGACAUUUACAGUUUAAUCAAGGACAUAAAAAUAUUUGCAUGGCCAACUCAAUUUUGAUCAUCCGUUACAUCAUGAGGUUUUACGUAAUACUUAUAUUGUGAAAACUCUUCACGAAAAAUCAAUUAAUUGGUAAGGUCGCACUAGAAUUUCGAAGGUCUACUGAAACAUCUAAAAAUGUAUAAGGAGAUAUAUUUAAAAAUAGUUGGAUGUGCAUUACGUCUCAAAAACAUAACACUCUGCAUAGCUGAAAAUAACUGCGCGAAAGCCAUAGAAUCUAGAUCACGACUUUUUUUUGUCUUUAAUAAAUAAUGAAAUGUCAAAGUUGUUGAUCCACUCUGUAUAUUAUAUUGUAUGUUAAAAUUCCGAGGCAUAAAGAAGUUAAAAUUUUAUUUGUUUGUGGGUUACUUCAACACAUGCUCAACCGGUUUAAAAAUUUAUUUCCAGUCAAAUUUUGUCCUUAUUAUGAAACUAUAUUUAAUUUAGAACAGAUCCUUAGUGAACUUCCUUUUACUUUUUCAAAAAUAUUGUAAAAUUUCUUUUAAAUAAAUCAGUUAAAAAAAUAACUCUUUAAGCAAUCAACUAUUAUUUAUCGGGUGUUAAAAAGUAAGGUUAGGUAACAGCAUUCCGGGUAUCAGUUGUUAUCGAUUAAAUUUAGGCUUAUUGCAGACAUAGUUCAUAAUGUUUAGAGAAAAUCAGCACCAACUUGAUCAAUUUUUACGGCAUGUUGAUAUUUCUACCAAAUAGAAAAAUUACAAUUUCUUUGAAAAUCAAAUUGUGAUAUAAAGUGAAUUUCAUUCAAAGGAAUAAUACAUAACUCUCAAAGCACCACUCAUUACUCCAAAGCGCCCAACUCUUAAACCUAGACCCUUUGCCACACGCCUCGCUCGCCUCGACCCUCAUUCGCGCACCAUUUCCGCCGCAUCAAAGGCCACUGCUACAUUUCGAAACAGCGAUGGUAAUGAACAAGGACAUGGAAUUUCGCGUGGAUUCAACGAGGAAGCGUAGCCUUAACCGGGAUGUCAACAUUGAGACCACGGGUUCAACGUCCGACACACUCCGACUUCCCCUACUUCUCCCACCUGUCUGGUUCCACUAGCACGUUCUCCUUCCACGUAAAAAGACCAUUGCGUGCUCGCACACAAAACGCGCCUACAAAAGACAUAAAAUGCUGGAAAAGACAGUCGAGAUUAGGCCAACGGGGGGAUUCGCGGAGACGCUUUGGGGUGGGUCAGGCACUUGACACUGAAGCCUUUGCAAGCUGGGGGUCUGGGCUAAAGGUCGCGGUUUAGACCAGUUAAACGCAGGUGGAAUGGUGAAAAGUGGUGCAACGGGGUUAAACUUCUUGUUUAGUUUGACAGUUACGGCCAAAUAACUGUGAAACACAGUGUCAAAUAGCUGCAUUAUUUUAAAAACAAAUUUCAUAGUUUACUAGAUGGCUUUUUUUGCGAUCAUAUGGCACUUAAUUGUUGUAAGUCUCCGUGAACAUAAUUCAGCAGAUCACAAACGUUUUAGGUUUAUGGUUGUUCCUUUGCAUGUCUGCAAGUCGUAAAUGUUUGCUGGAAUAUUUCCAAACAAUGCAAAUUAACUUAUUUUGCAAAACUUCAGAUGUGUAACGAUUUACAAGCAUGGUUUCAAAUUUAGUGUCAAAUAAAUUCCAUGGCUUACUAGACGGUUUUUUUUUGGUCGUGUGGUAUAAGUGCUGAAUUUUCGUCAAUCUUUUAAAAAUGCGUCUACUAAGUACGGAUCUGCAUUUUUCGUGUAUAUACUUGUCGGGGAUAAUAACUUCUAUACACAUGUGUUUAGCAUUUUUUGUCCUAGAUACAUCGAUAUUGCCAUAUUUAACAAGUGAGAAUUGAAGUAGCGAGUGUUUUCUCGGAGAGUAUUUUAUUUAGUAACAAACUGUGAUAAAAGUCAAUAGUAGAGUUUUCGUUUUCCUUAUUCAUUUGAUUAAUUCAUUAUUUCAUAUCUGGAAGUAUAUUUACCUAACAGCUAUAGAAUGUUUCUUUAUAGUAAGCAGUUUAAAGUGUUAAACAGACAUUUUUGUAGAAAUGUAUAGCCAAUGUCCCAAAUUAAACCUUAUAUGUGAAAAAACCAUAUUUAAUCAUUGAAGUUGAAUUAUGAAAGUGGUGUUGUUUACUUGUCUCAUGAGUAUUCAUGUCAAAGACUAUGUAAUUUCUGACUCUUUUUUAAAUAUUUUGCCAUUUUUAACUUUAACUGAAAUAAUAUUUGAGAAACUACUGUUAUAAUUUUGCUGUUACAUCGAAGUUGGUGUUGACUGUUGCCGCCUUGUCAACACUUGUGCCAUAACUAGUUCGUUAAGCUGAUGUGCCGCUUAUAACUGUUGAACAACAUUAAAUUUUCAUUGAUAUUUUAAUACGAUGAUCUGUAUAUAUUGCACUGUCCAUAGUUAGUUGAUUUAUACGAGCUAUUUAAAUAUCUUCAUUAAAAAAUAAAACAAGGACGUACAAAUAGCUAUACUUACGAUCUCGAUUUUAUAAUUAACUGUCACUUUGACAAAUAUUCUUAACUUUCUGCCUGUAAUGUGUAACAUUAAAUAUGGCAUUAAAUUUUAUGAAGUUUUAAAUUUGAAUUUAUUUAUUGGCAUUAUAAAUUACGAUUAGAGUCCAUAAAAACAUUUUCAACCUUGAGACACCGGCGACAUAAAUAAAAGAAUUUAUUAUUUUUUUAGUGGCCAAAAUUAUACGAAGCACACUGGGUAUGCCACGAAAUAAUGGAACUUUUGACUGAAAUUUCUUAUUCUUGUGUGAAAAUUUUGAGUGCUCAGUUAUGUGUUUUGGGUUUUUGAAAAUAUUAAUAUAUAAUUUCAUUUUUUAGAGUAAAUUGAUAACUUUAAAACAGACAAUUUUAAAUUAUAUCUCUGACGUAGAAUAAAAUCUUGAAUGAUCCCAGUCACCCAGAUUUGCCACCAUUCAGCCGAAUACCAUAAUGCAUCACGUAGAUCGUAGAAAACACAGCUCCCAUAAACCCUCGGGCGCCAUUUCCACAAAGAAUUACUCUGCUUAGAAAUUGCUGUCAAAGCACAGUCGGUUUGCGGUGAAAAAUAAGUACCUCAUUUCCAAAGGCGGUCAGUUUUGCAGACACAAAAAAUAAUUUUUCUAGUCUCGACAGCUGUCGUCUGUGCAAAUUCUGAAUACCGAAAUGGACAUCGGAAAUCGCCGCUCAAAGAAGAAUAAUCCGUUAGGUAAAGAUAACAAUUCUCAAGAAACCCAUUGUUGACCAACCGCCCUCCUGCACCCGUCCACCAUUGUCCAACCACAACCCAUAAAAUUUUUCUCCUAAUUAACUCUUCCAGGAACCGUCCGAGUCAACAACUCUGAAUUUGAUUCUAGGCCGAUGGUCAUAAUUCCAGCGCAUGCAUCAUCGUAACGGUAAAACCAACACACAAAACGCGUGUUUAUCUAGAGGAGCAUUCAACAACUUGUUGUGUGGGCAGGUGAUACCAUUUAAACGGAACUUGAUUUCUCAAGGCUAUAAGGGUCUGGACGAUAGACCUUCAUCGGUCCCGGGAGCGAAGCACCGCUAGUUAACCUCCUUUUAAGCUCGCUUAUCUAACCCUUUUAAUAAUACGCUCAUGCAUAUGGUAUCGAUGGUAGAAAAAAACACUCAGAAACGGGAACAGCAUGCAGGUGUGGUAGAAAAAAAGAUAAAAAGGCGGCGUUUGCUUUGUAUACAGCAUUCUUUCAGGUUUGAAUGGGUCUCCAGAACUAUUACUCGACAAACAUCUUGCAGUUAUGUCCCAAACUGUUUAAUUGGAAAGGAGUAAUUUGGGUAAUGAUGGGGAAUUAGUUGCAUAGAUUAUGGGGACCGACGCAAUUAUUCUAAUUACUAGAUACCAGACGGAAAAUUUCAAGCUUGUAAGUCAAAUUUAUACUAAUCUAGGAAUCAGAUGAGUUGUUUCAGGAACUUGAGGAAAAUCGCGCCCCAGUUUUCUGUUUCGGUUCUUCGUGGUUGAAACGACGUUCUACAAUUUAAAUUACUCAUUAACUGAGUAAUGUAUGCUGUAUAAACCAUCUCCAUGUCGUCUAAUUUGUUAUUUCUUAGACUGGUCGCACUUCUAUCUUUCCAAUUUUGCUGCAAAAUUUGUUCAGUCUAAUUUACAUUCUCCAGAAUAAUCUGAGUAAACUUUGUUUCAUUCCAAGAAAGUUCAUAAAGUGGUUGUUUACAAAAGAACCAGUGCACUCGUAGCUUCUUGCGAAUUUUCUGAAAGAAAGCUCUUUCGGAUUUUCAUUUCUGCUUAAUUAACAAGCUUAAAAGUCAUACUAUCAACACAGCGUGCAGCUCUUUUAUUCCUGUUUCGAUGUAGCGGAAACGGAAUUUGUGUUUAUUUUAAACAUUCUCAUUAGCCAUUCACGAUCGUGUAGAUUAGAUGGAAUCUAAUAGUCAAAUUGUGACGAUAAAAUAGACCGCAACAAAGUUAAAAUCACGAACUGUCAUCUAAGAUUUACAAGUUUGGUCGUCCGACUAAGCAGUUUAUUGGCGAUGGACAAUUUUUACUAUUGGUGCAGGUACCGCUAUGUAAUACAAUUAGCACCAUAAACGUUUUAUUACCAGAUAAUAACCGAAGUCAGUCGGAGCCGUUUUCUGGGUAAUAAACACCAAGAACUGUCGCCAUGACCAUGAAAGCACUCUGAAUCAAUAAUUAUUAUUUUAAGUAUCUUGUAAAAUAAUGAUUCAAACACGGUUAACCUUGGCCUUGGUCUCAACUUGGGUUAGUCAAUGUCAAAACUUGAUCGCGACUUAUAAACAACACACUAAAGACAAAUCCAGAGAAAUUCAGACCUGUUGCGGUGAAGAAAUGCUAAUUUAAUAAAACUGCCGCGUUUUCAAAAGCCACCGUUUCAGCAAAUUGAUUCAUAAACAAAAACCAUCGAUGUAUAAGCUAAUAAUAAGCUAUUGGUGAGCACGUAAGGAUUGAGUUCGUUGAACUGCCCUAGUGUCCUACUAAUCCGAAAGGAAGGUGAGCAUAGAAAAAUCGAGAAUCGUCGUACGAGUCGAGGCAGCAUCAUCAAUUUUUCUUAAAAAAUUUCAAACACGAUAUGAUAAAGAGGGCCAUUAGGGAGCAACUCCAUUAAUUUUUCCACCGACUGAUGCAACACCUAUGACAGUUAUCACCGGUCUAACUUUCUUUCGGUGUUGUUUGUUUAUGAUAAUUUCGGUAUAACGAGAUAAGGAGGUUUUCGAUUACAAUGAAAGUUAGUGACGUAGGCCACAAUUCGAUGAAUCAUGACAUUGUUCAAAGUUAUUGUUCGAAGGCGUCCGCAUUGAUGCCCAAUUUCAAAAAUCGAGACCAGAGAGGUCGCAUUAAUUUCGCCUAGAUUAUGUUAAUAGGGGUUUGAAUAAGUGCCUAAUAAUCACUCGAGUUACAAAAUAUGAUAAUAAAAUGCAACCCGACGUUGUACAAAACAGAUUGCAAAAUACAGAACGAGUUAUCAACAUUAAAGGAACUGGUUCCUUAUUAUGCAGUUUUCGACCUUAUACACCAGCACACAAGGUUGAGGUUAAAUUUUGAGGUUCGAUGAACCUAACAAAUGUUCACAUGCCGAAUUUUAUUCCGGACGAAUUUGUUUGUUUUUUAAAUUUUAUCUCCUGGAGGACGAAUUCGUAUGCUAAUUUUUUCCACAGCUAGUUGCAUUUUCGUCAAAAGUGAAUUGAUCGAAAUUGAAUUGUUGCGAAAAUUUAAUUGUGUUUGGUCUUAAUGAGAUAUUGUUUCGUCCUACCACACGCCGACGCGUUUGCUAACAAUGUCAACACCUUCAAAAUAUAUACACCUACAAUAUUUUGCGUGUGUCGAAAAAGUGAUGUUCGUUGAGCAAACAGUACGAGAGGAAUUACGAAACGUAAUAUCAAUGUGAAUGUCUUGUCUUAAGGUCAAUAACAUCGCCAUGAUACCAUGACUGCCAAAAUUUAACGCCUUCCCCGUCAUUACAUAAUUGAAUUAAUCAUCGGUAAGUCAUUUUCUCGGUGUUCGUCUGUCGGCAAAAAAUUUUCCUUGAGGUCUACAGGUGUUUAAUUUGCGCCGCGAGGAGAUUGAUCAAGCGCGGCAAAAACGCCUAUAAACAAUUCGGACCACCGGGAUCGAGACCCUUACCUUCGUGGCAAUCUUUCGGAGGAAUAUAUAAAAUCCACGGUAUCCAGAAAAUUUUGGCAAUGUCACUAAACGUAAUCCAAAAAAAGUCACUCAACACACACACUGUCUAAAUCAGUCGAGAUCGUCUCCGAACGGAAUUUUGCAAACGCAUGUCCAACGAAAAAUUUUGACGUUCACUUAAUCCAAGCGUGAAGAAAGCGUCGACCGGUUGUCAAAGCCGCAUGUCUAGGGCAAUGUCAAACACACCACUACGUUCUUCAACCUUCGCAGUCUUUUAGAAACUAAACACCGAUCCGAGUUAAACUUGACCGUGAUGGUUUUCACACAGCGCCAAGUGGUGAUAGUUGGAAGCUUCGGCUAACGGGAACUUCGGUCAACAACCUCCAAAUUCUGAGCGGCCUCAAGACGUUGCCAGCGACUUCAAUGCUGCAGCUCACGUUUGAGGAAGUUCUUUUUGUCGUUGUUUUAGGGUUCAUGGACCAAGCGCUCUCAUCUGCCCGAGAAGCCGCCUUUAUCGCGUCCAUCGCAAUCGAAAGAAAUUUUACGGCCGAUGAGGGUUAUUACGGCUGCGUUUUCGAGCUGAUUGCAGACUGAGCCGAAUUGGCGUCCUCGGAAUCGGAAAAACGUGAUGAUUAACGUUACUUCGCGGAGUAAAAGUUCUACUUUUGAGAAGGUCUUUGACUCAUCGCCGGCAUUUUGUUUAUGGUAAAUGAUAUAACCUUAUUUCACGCACCUAACGAAUUUAGGUAUUCAGUGAAAUGCCUUUCUCUUCACAUUCGCGUGAAUUUUGACAGGUGAAUUAUGAUUCAAUUUCUUCGGAAAACAAUUACAGGAGAACGAGAGUCGGUUUCGCGUCUCAUCCACUGUUGAAGUCUCCGGGCGAUUCUCUCGGAUAACACCCCGCUGGGGAUGGAUUUUGCCACUCACUCACUCUCGCGAUGAAAUAUGGCCACUUAUCCAUCACCGAGACAAAUUUCGACUGUUUAUCUCCACCGGGAAUAUAAAUUUUUACAUUUCUAAUACAGCCACCCUCAUCUACAGACAAUAUUUACGACCAUUUCACCACUAUAACGAUUAAGCGUGCACAAUUUUCUCUAGGUCAACCAGUAAUUUGUAUUGUAUUUCAAACCGGUGACAGUUCUUUUCAAAACCAGAGGGUGGUUACCAUAAACCGCAACAAUGCUCCCGUUCGUGAAUUUAUGACCAACAUGGGGGGUAGAAAGUUCCGUAAAUUGUCGCCUUCUUGGUAACCAAGAUACCGUUAACCCUUUUUCUCCGGUCAAAGAAAAGCAUUACACAACUCAUUGUCAAGGUGCAUCAGUUCUGAACGGAUUCGCUUUGGUUUCGGCCACCCUAGAAACUGGGGUAAACACCAAUAUCGCAGAAACCAGACUAAAAAAUCCCAGGGUGUUUUUUCCAAGAGACAAUUCUGACGUCUGUAAUAAACGAAACGAAAAUUUAAUCGAGUUUGCUCUGUUCUACAUCGUGGGGAGUUCAAUAAACUCGGGUCGUAACACAUUCUGUUUAGCACCUAUCAAGUCUUCAUUUUGCGCGAAAGAGGUCUAAAAAUCAGCGAACUGAAGCAGCGUCAAUAUUGACGUGUGCAUACUUCAUUUGGGCCUUUCUUUGAACUUUGGCUUUUUAAAACUGGCUGACCUAAUUGUUGUUUUUGGAAUUUUGGACUCGCCAUUAUGUGUUAAUUGUGGGUUUGUUAGUUAAUAGGUGUCCCUUGGAGUGACAUAAUCGGCUUGUUCCUGUCCGAUGAGCACAAUGUAGGGUGGAAUGCAACACCUACAAAGAUUUGAAAGUUGCUGUUGGAACGCAGUCUUCACUUACGUUAGGCGAAAAAGGAACUAAUUUAUACGUGCGUUAAGUGCGAGAGUGCGUGAAGAAGAACGCAUAGUGUAACGAGAGUCUUUUUUUUCCUCUAGUUUCAAGUCGAGUCAACUUUACCUAGAAUGGAAACUAAUGAAUUCUAACACAACACGUAAGUGCUUAUUGUGUUAAGAAAUGAAAUUACCUGAAUACCCUGAACUUGUAACUAAUAAUUCCGUCUAUCUCGGAAUUGAGUAAACGACUUCCUGCUAGGUAACUCUGACCCAUCAUUUAGGAGAUUAUUCGCUGUUUUAGCACCUCUAAUACGAAUCCGAAAAUUAAACACACAAUAAAAGUCGUAAACGUCUUCAGGAUCAUAUUUCUAGAAGGAUUUAUGCGCGUUGGUAAACAUUUCCACUCCUGUUUGCCACUAAAACAGACAACAAAUUUAUAUCCGAAUGCUAAUUCGGAAUGACUUUAUCUUUCGUAAAGACACUAGUGCAACAAACUAUUUAUGACACGACAUUCUACCUAAACAAGCAACGCCGAUCUCAAGGCCAGUUCUUAUUUUCAUAGGUUUCAAGGUUAAUUUCAAAAAUUCGCCGAAAAACACGUGCGAAUAAACAUCGCUCAAAGCUGCAUUUUUGGAAUUUUACCACUUUGUUGAUCAUCGCUCAAGAUACAAAGAGAGAUGAAAGUGUGACCCAGCGGAAAAAUUUUUGAAGAAUGAAGAAAGACAAACUUUGAACUAGCAACUGCAGAAUUGUACGAAAAUUUGUGCAAAAAGAUCAGUUCUUUUGAUUUUUGCUUUCCAAUAGUACGAAAACGUAGAACUUUUUCACUCUUGUCAGAAUACUCACGAUGAGAACUAGAACUAAUAACACAUCUUAUUAUUAUUAUAUUAUUAAGAACUGAAAGUUUUAAACAAAAAUAUAACCAAGAAACGAAAGGAAAGAGAGUAGACUAGAUUAUUGUUUCUAUUUUUAGCUUUCAAGGCCUUGACCGUUAUUUUUUUAACAAAAUUAGAAAAUUUGAUAAAGUGACUAAAACCAUUUUAUGUAUAGAUAUGUAACAAAAAAUAAAAACGAAUAAAUAAA